This 359-nucleotide unclassified non-coding RNA is filed under the name uncultured Inocybaceae. Its description in RNAcentral is "sequence contains ITS1". The stretch from base 1 to 105 matches the Rfam family "5.8S ribosomal RNA", at positions 50 to 154 of the family's 154-position model. The record is from RNAcentral. Lineage: Eukaryota; Fungi; Basidiomycota; Agaricomycetes; Agaricales.
GAAAUGCGAUAAGUAAUGUGAAUUGCAGAAUUCAGUGAAUCAUCGAAUCUUUGAACGCAUCUUGCGCUCCUUGGUAUUCUGAGGAGCAUACCUGUUUGAGUAUCAUUUAAAUUAUCAACUGUGCCAAUUCUGGUCACAGAUUGGAUGUGGGGGUUUCUGCAGGUCUUGAAAAAAAGGCCAGCUCUCCUGAAAUGUAUUAGCAGUGCCUUUGUUGGUGCCUUGGGUGUGAUAAACUAUCUAUGCCCUUAUAUAUGGUACCCUCAUUUUUUUUGAGGCCAUACUGCUUCUAAAUCGUCUUUUGGACAAUGUCUCAUGACAAACUUGAUCUCAAAUCAGGCAGGACUACCCGCUGAACUUAA